RNAcentral lists this ribosomal RNA (497 nucleotides) under uncultured bacterium. Its description in RNAcentral is "partial 16S ribosomal RNA". It matches the Rfam family "Bacterial small subunit ribosomal RNA", at positions 28 to 507 of the family's 1533-position model. The record is from RNAcentral.
GAUGAACGCUGGCGGCGUGCCUAAUACAUGCAAGUCGAGCGACCAGAUGAGGCGUUUGCUCCUCCGAAGCUAGCGACGGACGGGUAAGUAACACGUGGACAACCUCCAUAUCCGACUGAACUAGCUUCGAGAAACCGUAACUCCGACCGUGUAAUCUAUUCAUCCGCUUGGUUCGAUAAGGAAGGACGGGUUUCCGUUCACGUAUGGAUGCGUCCGCGCCGCAUUAGCUAGUUGGUGAGGUAACGGCUAACCAAGGCAGCGAUGCGUAGCCGGCCUGAGAGGACGAUCAGCCACACUGGAACUGAGACACGGCCCAGACUCCUACGGGAGGCAGCAGUGGGGAAUCUUGCGCAAUGGGCGAAAGCGUGACGGAGCAACGCCGCGUGAGUGAAGAAGGUCUUCGGAUCGUAAACCUCUGUCAUGAGGGAAGAAGAAAUGGCUAAGUAAAUACGCACGUCUUGACGGUACCUAAACAGAAAGCCACGGCUAACUACGUG